AGGUGCUGAGCUCUUGGGGGAUGAAGGCUGUGCUGCUGGCCAACACAGAGAUCAACCUGUAUGCCACCAACAUCCCAACCGCCUGGAACCAAUAUCAGUCAAGGAAAGCAAACUGUAUUCUGUUUGGCCUCAUACAUCAACGGAAUUGUUGAAUGCAUUGCUGAUGAAGAUGAAAGAAGCAGAAAGAACCCAAUUUGAAUUUCAGAGUUAAGCAAGGGUAGGAAUUAAAAAUUUUUUCUUGUUAACUGAUCAAAUUUAAUCUGGAGUCAGAGAAUGAGUAACUAUGUGUUAAGGCUCCAAAACUGAUAUCUCAAGGUUUGGGAUUGGGAAUAUCUUGCUGUAUUAUCCCCUGAUUGUUCUAAAUUUACAUAUAAAUUUAAAAUAUGGCUUU
Long non-coding RNA from Emys orbicularis (European pond turtle), 391 nucleotides. RefSeq lists it as uncharacterized. The transcript is spliced from 2 exons. The record is from RefSeq and is a predicted model, not a curated record. Lineage: Eukaryota; Metazoa; Chordata; Testudines; Emydidae.